This 413-nucleotide long non-coding RNA is filed under the name Homo sapiens (human). Its description in RNAcentral is "non-protein coding lnc-ZFC3H1-2:1". Lineage: Eukaryota; Metazoa; Chordata; Mammalia; Primates; Hominidae. The record is from RNAcentral.
GUUGAGAAUCUUGUCAUGCAAUAAGGUGUUUGCCACGUAUUAUUCCAAAUGCAAAUAGCUAAACAAGAUCAGAAGAAUUUGAAAAAUUUGCCAAAACCCCAGUCUCAUACCAGAUUCGCUACAUGGGCAAGAAGAUAUGUGAUACUUACAUUAAUUCCUACAAGAAUCUGAAAGUGAAGCUCCACUGGCAGGAGAGCAGAGCGGAGCGGCAGAGGAGGAGAGAAGAGAAGCAGCUGGAGAAAAGCAGCUUGACUUCAGAGGGAUGGCUUGAUGGCAGGACUUCAGAGAAGAGUUUGGCCAGGCAUGGCCAAACUCCAGGGGAAGAUUAUCUGCUCACUCCAUCCCUCUCCAGCUCCCCUUCCCACUGAGAGCCACUUCCAUCUCUCAAUAAAAUUAUCCGCAUACACCACCCU